GAGUUUGAUCGUGGCUCAGAACGAACGCUGGCGGCAUGCCUAACACAUGCAAGUCGAACGAACUCUUCGGAGUUAGUGGCGCACGGGUGCGUAACGCGUGGGAAUCUGCCCUUGGGUACGGAAUAACUCAGAGAAAUUUGUGCUAAUACCGUAUAAUGACUUCGGUCCAAAGAUUUAUCGCCCAAGGAUGAGCCCGCGUAAGAUUAGCUAGUUGGUGGGGUAAAGGCCUACCAAGGCUACGAUCUUUAGCUGGUCUGAGAGGAUGAUCAGCCACACUGGGACUGAGACACGGCCCAGACUCCUACGGGAGGCAGCAGUGGGGAAGUAUUGGACAAUGGGCGAAAGCCUGAUCCAGCAAUGCCGCGUGAGUGAUGAAGGCCUUAGGGUUGUAAAGGCUCUUUUACCCGGGUAUGAUAAAUUGACAGUACCGGGAGGAAUAAAGCUCCGGCUAACUCCGUGGCAGCCGCCGCCGUAAU
RNAcentral lists this ribosomal RNA (476 nucleotides) under uncultured microorganism. RNAcentral describes it as "bacterial SSU rRNA". It matches the Rfam family "Bacterial small subunit ribosomal RNA", at positions 9 to 524 of the family's 1533-position model. The record is from RNAcentral.